CCUGACUGCUAUCGGAUUGAUACUAAGCCAUGCGAGUCAUUGUAGCAAUACAAGGCAGACGGCUCAGUAACGCGUAGUUAACCUACCCUAUGGACGGGGAUAACCUCGGGAAACUGAGAAUAAUACCCGAUAGAACAUUAUACCUGGAAUGGUUUAUGUUUCAAAUAAUUUAUUGCCGUAGGAUGGGACUGCGGCCUAUCAGUUUGUUGGUGAGGUAAUGGCCCACCAAGACUAUUACAGGUACGGGCUCUGAGAGGAGUAGCCCGGAGAUGGGUACUGAGACACGGACCCAGGCCCUAUGGGGCGCAGCAGGCGAGAAAACUUUGCAAUGUGCGAAAGCACGACAAGGUUAAUCCGAGUGGUUUCUGCUAAAGGAACCUUUUGUCAGUCCUAGAAACACUGAUGAAUAAGGGGUGGGCAAGUUCUGGUGUCAGCCGCCGCGGUAAAACCAGCACCUCAAGUGGUCAGGAUGAUUAUUGGGCCUAAAGCAUCCGUAGCCUGCUUUGUUAGUUUUCGGUUAAAUCCAUACGCUUAACGUAUGGGCUGCCGGGAAUACUGCAAAGCUAGGGAGUGGGAGAGGUAGACGGUACUCGGUAGGAAGGGGUAAAAUCCUUUGAUCUAUUGAUGACCACCUGUGGCGAAGGCGGUCUACCAGAACACGUCCGACGGUGAGGGAUGAAAGCUGGGGGAGCAAACCGGAUUAGAUACCCGGGUAGUCCCAGCUGUAAACUAUGCAAACUCGGUGAUGCAUUGGCUUGAUGCCAAUGCAGUGCCGCAGGGAAGCCGUUAAGUUUGCCGCCUGGGAAGUACGUACGCAAGUAUGAAACUUAAAGGAAUUGGCGGGGGAGCACCACAAGGGGUGAAGCCUGCGGUUC
Molecule: ribosomal RNA, 875 nt
Filed under: uncultured archaeon
Lineage: Archaea
Description: bacterial SSU rRNA
Rfam family: Archaeal small subunit ribosomal RNA
Source: RNAcentral